RNAcentral lists this ribosomal RNA (454 nucleotides) under uncultured bacterium. RNAcentral's name for it is "bacterial SSU rRNA". It matches the Rfam family "Bacterial small subunit ribosomal RNA", at positions 28 to 518 of the family's 1533-position model. The record is from RNAcentral.
AACGAACGCUGGCGGCGCGCCUAACACAUGCAAGUCGAACGGGCAGUUAUCUUCGGGUGACUGUCAGUGGCGGACGGGUGAGUAACGCGUGGGAACCUGCCCAAGGGUUCGGGAUAACCGUGGGAAACCAUGGCUAAGACCGGAUACGGCCGAGAGGCGAAAGAUUUAUCGCCCUUGGAGGGGCCCGCGUCGGAUUAGCUAGACGGUGGGGUAACGGCCUACCGUGGCUACGAUCCGUAACUGGUCUGAGAGGAUGGCCAGUCACACUGGGACUGAGACACGGCCCAGACUCCUACGGGAGGCAGCAGUGGGGAAUCUUGGACAAUGGGGGCAACCCUGAUCCAGCGACGCCGCGUGGGUGACGAAGGCCUUCGGGUUGUAAAGCCCUUUUGCCGGGGACGAUGAUGACGGUACCCGGAGAAUAAGCACCGGCUAACUCCGUGCCAGCCGCCGC